This 606-nucleotide unclassified non-coding RNA is filed under the name Rathayibacter tritici. RNAcentral describes it as "partial 16S-23S ribosomal RNA intergenic spacer". The stretch from base 1 to 50 matches the Rfam family "Bacterial small subunit ribosomal RNA", at positions 1484 to 1533 of the family's 1533-position model. The record is from RNAcentral. Lineage: Bacteria; Bacillati; Actinomycetota; Actinomycetes; Micrococcales; Microbacteriaceae.
AGUCGUAACAAGGUAGCCGUACCGGAAGGUGCGGCUGGAUCACCUCCUUUCUAAGGAGCUGCUAGCAACUGGUUGCUGUGCCUGUAUGGGUGUGGUGGUGGUUGUCAGUGUUGCCCAUUGCGCAGGCGUCUGUUCUGCGGUGGGUGCUCAUGGGUGGAAUAUCAACGAAUCAUUUUUUUGGCAUGGUCUUCUGUGCUGUGUCCUGGUGUGAGUACGGCAACGUGCGUCUUCCUUUGUGGGGGGUGUGGUGUUGUUGGGAAAGCGUUCCGGGGUGUGGUGUGUGGGGGUUGUGUUUGGCGCACUGUUGGGGUUCUGAGGCAACAGGACCUUGUGCAGCAAUGCAUGGGACGGUUGUUUCUGUGUUUCCUGCUUCUGGUUCUGUUCUUGCACGUGUGUGUGGGGGUGGUCUGGUUGAUGGGGUUGUUGUUUGAGAACUACAUAGUGGACGCGAGCAUCUAAGAACACACAUGCCUGUGGUGUGGGUGUUCUUAUACAGCAAUUUCUUAUGAAUGAACCCUGGGCCCAAGUGGCUCGUGGUUCUCUCGAGUAUGUUUUUGAUCUUUGUGUGGUCAAGUUUUUAAGGGCACACGGUGGAUGCCUUGGCAC